CCUACGGGAGGCUGCAGUGGGGAAUAUUGCACAAUGGGGGAAACCCUGAUGCAGCGACGCCGCGUGAGUGAAGAAGUAUUUCGGUAUGUAAAGCUCUAUCAGCAGGAACGAGACAAGACGGUACCUGACUAAGAAGCCCCGGCUAACUACGUGCCAGCAGCCGCGGUAAUACGUAGGGGGCAAGCGUUAUCCGGAAUCACUGGGUGUAAAGGGAGCGUAGACGGCUGAGCAAGCCUGAAGUGAAAGGCGGGGGCCCAACCCCUGGACUGCUUUGGGAACUGUACGGCUAGAGUGCAGGAGAGGGAAGUGGAAUUCCUAGUGUAGCGGUGAAAUGCGUAGAUAUUAGGAGGAACACCAGUGGCGAAGGCGGCUUACUGGACUGUAACUGACGUUGAGGCUCGAAAGCGUGGGGAGCAAACAGGAUUAGAUACCCUUGUAGUC
Molecule: ribosomal RNA, 441 nt
Filed under: uncultured bacterium
Lineage: Bacteria
Description: partial 16S ribosomal RNA
Rfam family: Bacterial small subunit ribosomal RNA
Source: RNAcentral